CCCUUAGAUGUUCUGGGCCGCACGCGCGCUACACUGACACGUUCAUCAAGUCUAUAACCUUGACCGAGAGGUCUGGGUAAUCUUUUAAAAACGUGUCGUGCUGGGGAUAGAUUAUUGCAAUUAUUAAUCUUCAACGAGGAAUUCCUAGUAAACGCAAGUCAUCAACUUGCAUUGAUUACGUCCCUGCCCUUUGCACACACCGCCCGUCGCUACUACCGAUUGAAUGAUUUAGUGAGUACCAGGGACCGAGCGCUUUGGUUGGGUUUCCUUCCCUAGCGCUUGGGAACUGUCGCAAACUUGACCAUUUAGAGGAAGUAAAAGUCGUAACA
RNAcentral lists this ribosomal RNA (329 nucleotides) under uncultured eukaryote. Its description in RNAcentral is "partial 18S ribosomal RNA". It matches the Rfam family "Eukaryotic small subunit ribosomal RNA", at positions 1470 to 1796 of the family's 1831-position model. The record is from RNAcentral.